AGAUCACACAGAACAAAGCCAGAACCCAACCAGGGCUAACACUCCAAGUGAACCAGCACUAAGGCUGAAUCAUUUGAAUUAUUGUCCUGAGUUCCUUUGUCCCAAGGAAAAGCAUGGAUCCCAUUGCUGUUUUACAGGGUUGAAUAUUAAAGGAGGAGCUUCAGAAAAUCAAGCCUUAAACGAGAAGUCUGCAAAGUGUGGCUGGAACAAUGAGAUAGCAGAGCUGUAAGACAUAGCAGCCCAGAUCCCUGAGUCACUAUAGGAGAGCUCCAAGGAGAAGUGACUCACUGACACACUCAGCAAAUAUACUCCGUGUCCAUUGAGCAAAAUGCACUUCCUAUGUAAGCUAAAGAGAGAAACCCAUAGAUGAUGAAACAGAAUUGGAGAAGAUUGGUCAGAUCACCCGACUUUGCCUUCUGAUGCACCAAGGGAUGCCACCCAGACAAGUAAUCUGGCUCAACCAGUUCUGCAAUCCCACCCAGAAACAGAAGAUAGCAAGAAAACCCACUUCAACCCGCUGAUUUCAUCCUGACCCAGCCACUCAGUACUCCCCACUUCCCGAUCCCCUACCCACCAAAUUAUCCUUAAAAACCCUGAUCCUCAAAUUUUCAGGGAGACUGAUUUGAGUAAUAACAAAACUCCAGUCUCCCAUACAGCUGGAUCUGUGAGAAUUAAAUUCUUUAUUGCAAUUCCCCCAUCUUGGUAAAUCGGCUCUGUCUAGUCAGCAGGCAAGAACCCAUUAGCCGGUUACACUAAGCUCCUAUCUCCAGUCAUGAAAUAGGCUGGAGAGAACAAGCGUUAGGAAGGGGAAGAGAUUUCUUUGGAAAUGUUUUUCAAGAACCUUUUCUAGCCAGCUUCCACGGAAGUGUACUGUAUCCCUUGAAUUUGGAAGACACAGCCGACUGCUGACUCAGGGCUGGGAAAGUGACUACAGGUGAGAGACAGGGCUGAACGGUCCAUGGCAAUGAGCCAAGGCUGAGUUUCAGAGUAACUGUGCCCUCAUCUGUGACUGUUCAAAGAUACAUGGUUCCCGGCUACCAGAUAGGAAUCUGGGGUGGGAAUACCACCGAGUUGAUUUCAAAGGGAUCCUGGUCAAGACAGUGAAGCAACCUCAGCCAAAGCAAUUUGGAUGGUCCCAUGAGAUACAGAAAGUGAGGGAGGAUGUGAGCAGUCCACUAGAGGGACUGUUAUACCAGAGCACUGAUAAGAGGCCCAUGAGCGCAGGAGUCAGCUCCGAAAGAUCCACAAUUCAGGGAACCCUCUUGCCAGAUUGUCAGAGGCAUGCGUCUCUCCCCUACUCCCCGUUUUAACCCCGGAAGAGUCAGAGCAGCCUAGAGCUGAGACCAAUGCUUAAGAGAGAGGUCCGCCCUGCCUCUCUUACCACUGCCAGUUUACAGGUUUACAGAGGAAAGGUGAAGCCCAACUCUUUCCUGCACAAGAGUUGUUAAAAGUAAUAUAUUUCAGUACAGUAGAAAGCAUAAGAAACACUUUCUGUGGCAGUCAGCUAGACGGUGCCCAGGUUCUUAAAAAAACCUUUUCCAAAGAAAUCACUUCUACUUCCUUCACUUCUAGAAAAAAAAAGUCAUUUCUCCUUCCUAACUUGGCCUCUCCAACAUAUUUAAUGACUGGGGCUUAGCCACGGCUGGUACAGGCUGGCAGGGGUCUGAAAGCUUUGCCUCCGAAAGUUUUUGAAGUUUGAUUAUCACUGAGCUGGACAUUUUCAAUCUUGAACUGAAACCAUUCUUGAGACUAAAAUAAUCAGAGAGCUUGUUUUGUUUUUAUUAAUCUAAAAGAGAAAGGAAAUAGUAUGGCACCUGAAAUGUGAUUGAAAAAAGAGAAAAAAAUAGCCUUCAAAAUAAUUCUUAAUGGAAGUUGCGGGAGGAAAAAUUUUUAGGAUGUAAAAGCAUAGCCCAAAUCCUGGAUGCUAUGUGACCCCAAGGUAAUACUCUUGAGCUGCUUCUGCCAGAAGGCUGAUUCAUGGCUUCACAGCAAACAGAACCUCCAUCACAUCAGAAAAACAAAUGCAGCUGGAAAAAGAAGACCACAGAGUCAGAGCAUUCAGGCCAGCGAGGCCCAGAGCUGCAGUCUCAGGCCAACGUUUCUUUAAGGAGGCAGCCAGCUUUUGGCAGACAGUACAGAAAAACUCACACUGAUGCAUAGGCUCUUCCUGAGUCUUCGGCCUGCCAGCCUUUGGAUUGGUACCACAACACAGGCUCUCCUGGUUCUCAGGCCUUCAGAUUCAGACUGGAACCACACCAUCAGCUCUCCUGGGUCUCCAGCCUACCAACUCACCCUGCAGAUAUUAAGACUGCCCAGCCUCUAUAAUUGCACGAAUGUAUUUCUUAUAAUAAAUCUCUUUCUACAUAUA
Molecule: long non-coding RNA, 2368 nt
Organism: Pan troglodytes (chimpanzee)
Lineage: Eukaryota; Metazoa; Chordata; Mammalia; Primates; Hominidae
Exons: 8
Source: RefSeq, a predicted model, not a curated record